RNAcentral lists this ribosomal RNA (415 nucleotides) under uncultured Streptococcus sp. Its description in RNAcentral is "bacterial SSU rRNA". It matches the Rfam family "Bacterial small subunit ribosomal RNA", at positions 956 to 1382 of the family's 1533-position model. Lineage: Bacteria; Bacillati; Bacillota; Bacilli; Lactobacillales; Streptococcaceae. The record is from RNAcentral.
GAUACGCGAAAACCUUACCGGGCUUGACAUGCAUCAGACAGGCGUAGAGAUACGCCUCGCGAGGCUGGUGCACAGGUGCUGCAUGGUUGUCGUCAGCUCGUGUCGUGAGAUGUUGGGUUAAGUCCCGCAACGAGCGCAACCCUACCGUGUGUUACCAUCAUUAAGUUGGGGACUCGGCACGGAACUGCCGGUGAUAACCGGAGGAAGUGGGAUGACGUCAAAUCAUCAUGCCCCUUAUGACCUGGGCUACACACGUGCUACAAUGGUUGGUACAACGAGUUGCGAGUCGGUGACGGCGAGCUAAUCUCUUAAAGCCAAUCUCAGUUCGGAUUGUAGGCUGCAACUCGCCUACAUGAAGUCGGAAUCGCUAGUAAUCGCGGAUCAGCACGCCGCGGUGAAUACGUUCCCGGGCCUU